Non-coding RNA from Myotis lucifugus (little brown bat), 75 nucleotides. The record is from Rfam. NCBI's taxonomy places the organism in Eukaryota, Metazoa, Chordata, Mammalia, Chiroptera, Vespertilionidae.
GGUAGUUCUCGGGUGACAUACCUUGGAAUCAGGCUCCUUCCUUUCUGGUUCCAGGUGCAUCACCUGAGAACCUCA